GAGCCGGUCUCGCGCAAUGGAUGCCCACGAAUCAUGUCAGGCGGGGAACCGAGCAGCAUUAAGAGGGAUCACCAUGUGCCGCGAGGGUGCCGGUUCUGU
Molecule: signal recognition particle RNA, 99 nt
Filed under: Oscillospiraceae bacterium
Lineage: Bacteria; Bacillati; Bacillota; Clostridia; Eubacteriales; Oscillospiraceae
Description: signal recognition particle sRNA small type
Rfam family: Bacterial small signal recognition particle RNA
About the family: The signal recognition particle (SRP) is a universally conserved ribonucleoprotein involved in the co-translational targeting of proteins to membranes. Archaeal SRP consists of a 7S RNA and homologues of the eukaryotic SRP19 and SRP54 proteins.
Source: RNAcentral